This 447-nucleotide ribosomal RNA is filed under the name uncultured bacterium. Its description in RNAcentral is "bacterial SSU rRNA". It matches the Rfam family "Bacterial small subunit ribosomal RNA", at positions 330 to 793 of the family's 1533-position model. The record is from RNAcentral.
UCCAGACUCCUACGGGAGGCAGCAGUGGGGGAUAUUGCACAAUGGGGGGAACCCUGAUGCAGCGACGCCGCGUGGGUGAAGGAGCGUUUCGGCGCGUAAAGCCCUCUCGGCAGGGAAGAAGGAGGACGGUACCUGACUAAGAAGCCCCGGCUAACUACGUGCCAGCAGCCGCGGUAAUACGUAGGGGGCAAGCGUUAUCCGGAUUUACUGGGUGUAAAGGGGGCGCAGACGGCAGCGCAAGCCAGGAGUGAAAGCCCGGGGCCCAACCCCGGGACUGCUCUUGGAACUGCGCGGCUGGAGUGCAGGAGGGGCAGGCGGAAUUCCUGGUGUAGCGGUGAAAUGCGUAGAUAUCAGGAGGAACACCGGUGGCGAAGGCGGCCUGCUGGACUGCGACUGACGUUGAGGCCCGAAAGCGUGGGGAGCAAACAGGAUUAGAUACCCCGGUAU